UAGGGAAUUUUGCGCAAUGGACGAAAGUCUGACGCAGCAACGCCGCGUGAGUGAUGAAGGUCUUCGGAUUGUAAAGCUCUGUUGAGUGGGAAGAAAAGUUUCUGUUUUAAUAAAACAGGAGCCUGACGGUACCGCUCGAGGAAGGACCGGCUAACUACGUGCCAGCAGCCGCGGUAAUACGUAGGGUCCAAGCGUUGUUCGGAAUCACUGGGCGUAAAGGGAGCGUAGGCGGAGUCGUAAGUUAGAAGUUUAAUACCCAGGCUUAACCUGGGAUCUGCUUCUAAUACUGCGACCCUUGAGUAUGGAAGAGGGAGAUGGAAUUCCAGGUGUAGCGGUGGAAUGCGUAGAUAUCUGGAAGAACACCAGCAGCGAAGGCGGUCUCCUGGUCCAAUACUGACGCUGAGGCUCGAAAGUUAGGGGAGCAAACAGG
RNAcentral lists this ribosomal RNA (430 nucleotides) under uncultured bacterium. Its description in RNAcentral is "bacterial SSU rRNA". It matches the Rfam family "Bacterial small subunit ribosomal RNA", at positions 355 to 776 of the family's 1533-position model. The record is from RNAcentral.